GAUUGAAUGUGCUCUGAGCAUGAGUAAGAUGGAAUAAAGAGUCAAGAAAGGCUGACAGCAGGGACAUAGGCAGUAGGAUAUGUAUCACUGAAAAUAGCACUUCUGCGUGAAGCUGAUGGAAAUCAAAGAGGAUACAGAAAGGUCAUCCAACUACAGGCUGUCAAGCAAAUGACACUAGCAAGGUGGCCAGAAGACAAAAGCCAAGUACCGAUCUUGCAAAGGGGCACAGUCAGACAUCACCGGGGGAACAAAAGAUGACAACCAUGGUGCACAGAGGGGAGGAGAGAAAAAAGGAUUCUUUGUGGCUGAUUGCAUAACCAUAUAACUGCCAGACACAAGGGCAGAGACUGCCCCUUCUUUAAUCCUCUGGGUGUGUGGGGGAGUACCUCAAGAGCUCAGAGAAGACUGGGAGUAUUGGAGAUCCUCAGAGUCAGGCACAAGGAUAUUGUUAAGAGCUGCUGUUUCCUAGCUCCAUACCUAAAUUUACAGAGCCACAUGCACACAAUAUGGCUGAGAAGAGGCUUCCAAAGGAAUGUAGGGAGGAUGGCAGCACCCACUGCUCAUCCUGGACCAAAUUC
Molecule: long non-coding RNA, 578 nt
Organism: Mauremys mutica (yellowpond turtle)
Lineage: Eukaryota; Metazoa; Chordata; Testudines; Geoemydidae
Exons: 4
Source: RefSeq, a predicted model, not a curated record